ACAAAAACAUGUCUCUUUGGUGUAUUUAUAUAAAGAGUUUAACCUGCCCGGUGAUUAUUAUUUAACGGCCGCAGUACUUUGACUGUGCGAAGGUAGCAUAAUUAUUUGCCUUAUAAUUGAAGGCUUGUAUGAAUGGUUUGACGAGAAUGAGUCUGUCUUAAUUUAAUUUUUUUGAAUUUAACUUAUAAGUGAAGAGGCUUUUAUUUAAUUGAUAGACAAGAAGACCCUGUCGAGCUUGAUUUUUUAUAUAUAAAUGUAUAUUUUUAUAUUAUUUAUAGAUUUUAGUUGGGGUGACUGAGGAAGUAUAUGAGUUUCCUUAUAAUUAUUUAAAUUUGUUGGUUUUGAUCCUUUUUUUAUGAUUAGUAGAAUUAGCUACCGCAGGGAUAACAGCAUAAUCUUUUUUGAGAGUUCAUAUCGAAAAAUUGGUUUGUGACCUCGAUGUUGGAUUAAAAUUUCCUAAAGGUGCAGAAGUUUUUAAGGGUUAGUCUGUUCGACUAUUAAAAUUUUACAUGAGCUGAG
This 519-nucleotide ribosomal RNA is filed under the name Annularia lima. Its description in RNAcentral is "partial 16S ribosomal RNA". It matches the Rfam family "Bacterial large subunit ribosomal RNA", at positions 1807 to 2609 of the family's 2925-position model. The record is from RNAcentral. Lineage: Eukaryota; Metazoa; Mollusca; Gastropoda; Littorinimorpha; Annulariidae.